RNAcentral lists this ribosomal RNA (598 nucleotides) under uncultured bacterium. RNAcentral's name for it is "bacterial SSU rRNA". It matches the Rfam family "Bacterial small subunit ribosomal RNA", at positions 112 to 704 of the family's 1533-position model. The record is from RNAcentral.
AAUACUUAGGAAUCUACCUAUUAAUGGGGGACAACAUUUCGAAAGGAAUGCUAAUACCGCAUACGCCCUACGGGGGAAAGCAGGGGCUCUUCGGACCUUGCGUUAAUAGAUGAGCCUAAGUCGGAUUAGCUAGUUGGUGGGGUAAAGGCCUACCAAGGCGACGAUCUGUAGCGGGUCUGAGAGGAUGAUCCGCCACACUGGGACUGAGACACGGCCCAGACUCCUACGGGAGGCAGCAGUGGGGAAUAUUGGACAAUGGGGGGAACCCUGAUCCAGCCAUGCCGCGUGUGUGAAGAAGGCCUUUUGGUUGUAAAGCACUUUAAGCGAGGAGGAGGCUACUCUAGUUAAUACCUAGAGCUAGUGGACGUUACUCGCAGAAUAAGCACCGGCUAACUCUGUGCCAGCAGCCGCGGUAAUACAGAGGGUGCGAGCGUUAAUCGGAUUUACUGGGCGUAAAGCGUGCGUAGGUGGCCUUUUAAGUCAAAUGUGAAAUCCCCGAGCUUAACUUGGGAAUUGCAUUCGAUACUGGUUGGCUAGAGUAUGGGAGAGGAUGGGUAGAAUUCCAGGUGUAGCGGUGAAAUGCGUAGAGAUCUGGAGG